Molecule: ribosomal RNA, 468 nt
Filed under: uncultured bacterium
Lineage: Bacteria
Description: partial 16S ribosomal RNA
Rfam family: Bacterial small subunit ribosomal RNA
Source: RNAcentral
GACGAACGCUGGCGGCGUGCUUAACACAUGCAAGUCGAACGGAAAGGCCCUGCUUUUGUGGGGUGCUCGUGUGGCGAACGGGUGAGUAUCACGUGAGUAAACUGCCCUUGUCUUUGGGAUAACUUCAGGGAACUCGGGCUCAUACAGCGUAGGAGAUCCUGCUGCAUGGUGUGGAUUGGAAAGAUUCGGCGUUUCGGGAUGGAAUCGCGGCUUAUCAGCUUGUUGGUGGGGUAGUGGCUUACCAAGGCUUGGAGGGGUAGCCGGCCUGAGGGGGUGACCGGCCACAUUGGGACUGAGAUACGGCCCAGACGCCUACGGGAGGCAGCAGUGGGAAACAUUGCACAAUGGGCCGAAGCCUGAUGCAGCAACGCCGCGUGCGGGAUGACGGCCUUCGGGUUAGAAACCGCUUUAGACUGUGACGAAGCGUGAGUGACGGUAAUGGGUAAAAAAGCAACGGCUAACUACGUG